GACGAACGCUGGCGGCGUGCUUAACACAUGCAAGUCGAACGAUGAAGCUAGAGCUUGCUCUGGUGAAUUAGUGGCGAACGGGUGAGUAACACGUGAGUAACCUGCCCCGAACUCUGGGAUAACUGCUGGAAACGGUAGCUAAUACUGGAUACGACCUACGAAGGCAUCUUCUGUAGGUGGAAAGAAUUUCGGUUCGGGAUGGACUCGCGGCGUAUCAGCUUGUUGGUGAGGUAAUGGCUCACCAAGGCGACGACGGGUAGCCGGCCUGGGAGGGUGACCGGCCACACUGGGACUGAGACACGGCCCAGACUCCUACGGGAGGCAGCAGUGGGGAAUAUUGCACAAUGGGCGCAAGCCUGAUGCAGCAACGCCGCGUGAGGGAUGACGGCCUUCGGGUUGUAAACCUCUUUUAGUAGGGAAGAAGCGAAAGUGACGGUACCUGCAGGAAAAGCACCGGCUAACUACGUGCCAGCCGCCGCUGUAA
Molecule: ribosomal RNA, 484 nt
Filed under: uncultured bacterium
Lineage: Bacteria
Description: partial 16S ribosomal RNA
Rfam family: Bacterial small subunit ribosomal RNA
Source: RNAcentral